CACGUAGGGCGCAAGCGUUGUCCGGAAUUAUUGGACGUAAAGAGCUCGUAGGCGGUCUGUUGCGUCCGCUGUGAAAACUCGGGGCUUAACCCCGAGCCUGCAGUGGAUACGGGCAGACUAGAGGUAGGUAGGGGAGAAUGGAAUUCCCGGUGUAGCGGUGAAAUGCGCAGAUAUCGGGAGGAACACCGGUGGCGAAGGCGGUUCUCUGGGCCUUACCUGACGCUGAGGAGCGAAAGCGUGGGGAGCGAACAGG
Molecule: ribosomal RNA, 253 nt
Filed under: uncultured bacterium
Lineage: Bacteria
Description: partial 16S ribosomal RNA
Rfam family: Bacterial small subunit ribosomal RNA
Source: RNAcentral